Molecule: ribosomal RNA, 733 nt
Filed under: uncultured bacterium
Lineage: Bacteria
Description: bacterial SSU rRNA
Rfam family: Bacterial small subunit ribosomal RNA
Source: RNAcentral
AGAGUUUGAUCCUGGCUCAGAAUCAACGCUGGCGGCGUGCCUCAGACAUGCAAGUCGAACGCGAAAGGCCCCUUCGGGGGCCGAGUAGAGUGGCGCACGGGUGAGUAACACGUGGGUAAUCUACCUCUGGGUGGGGAAUAACAGCCGGAAACGGCUGCUAAUACCGCAUAAUGCAGCGGCACCACAUGGUGACAGUUGUUAAAGCGGGGGAUCGUAAGACCUCGCGCCUAGAUGAGGAGCCCGCGGCGGAUUAGCUAGUUGGUAGGGUAACGGCCUACCAAGGCGACGAUCCGUAGCCGGCCUGAGAGGGCGGACGGCCACACUGGCACUGACACACGGGCCAGACUCCUACGGGAGGCAGCAGUCGGGAAUUUUGGGCAAUGGGCGAAAGCCUGACCCAGCAACGCCGCGUGAAGGAUGAAGCUUUUCGGAGUGUAAACUUCAUAAGAAUGGGACGAAUAAGGAGGGGUUAACACCCCCUUUGAUGACGGUACCAUUUGUAAGCUCCGGCUAACUCCGUGCCAGCAGCCGCGGUAAUACGGGGGGAGCAAGCGUUGUUCGGAUUUACUGGGCGUAAAGGGCGCGUAGGCGGCGCAACAAGUCACUUGUGAAAUCUCCGGGCUUAACCCGGAGCGGCCAAGUGAUACUGUCGUGCUAGAGUGCGGAAGGGGCUACUGGAAUUCUCGGUGUAGCGGUGAAAUGCGUAGAUAUCGAGAGGAACACCUGCGGCGAA